UUUAUUGAACCGCCACUCCUAGCACUCCUCAUUGGCAGGAACCAAAACAACGGUUAAUUGCUUUUAGCUUUUCCUUUAAGGAGCAUGGGAGGACAUUAUUUAUGAUGAAAGUAGCCGGUUGUUGGUAUUCAAGGAAAGGGAUCUGAAAAAACUUUUUUUUUUUGACAAAAAGGUGAAAUUGCUGGUUACAGUGCUAGUGGAUUGGAAUUGUGCUUCCAUAAAAAUACUCCACAAACCAUCAGAAAACUGGUAUGUCUCACAGUAUUCCAUAUUGUUUUAAAAAAUUCACUGCUAAUUGAUCAUCUGAUUCAUCUCUCUCUCUCUCUCUCACACAGAGACAGACACAAACACACACAUAGACGCGCGCUCGCACUCACAUACACGAGAACACACACAGUUGGGCAAAAUACUAAAAUUUUGUGCUGGCCCUGAGAGCCAUCUAGAAAUUUGUUGGAAUUAGAUUAGAUAUAUGCUAACCCCUUUUUCAUCUUUAAAGGGCAUUGUAAUAUGAUUCUGGUCUCCAUGAGUAACUUUGGAAUUCUAAAGAACUAUAUAAAUAUAUGACCCAGUUACAUAUCCUAACCUGAAAUUUACCCAAUCUAACUGAUUUUAGCUUACCACGUGAAGGGCUAUAAACUUGUAACAGAGGUGAUUUCCUUAAAGGGGGAUUAAUUUUGAAUUUAAUGAAAUAUAUAUAUGUGUGAGCUUUUUCUACUCUCUUACCUGAUUAAUAUGCCUAAGAUAGCAGAUUAAAGCCUUGCAAAUGGCUAAUUGUCGAUUAGCAAGAAUCUUAUUAGUUGAUUGCAAAUAUGUGCAUUAUAAAAUCAUAUGUACAAUUUUGAAUAUCUAAUAUAGAUGAUAAUGGAGCAUCAGGUAAGAAUCCUUAGAGGAAAAGACAACAUUGGGUAGGUGACCAAAGGCAGUUAACAUUCUCACUCGGGAGAGUGGUUAGCAUGAAGUUAAUUUUGGUCAAUUGAUCAGUGUCGACACGUAGGCGUGAGGUGAUAUCUUUCUCUACGUGUCAACACUGUAUUGGUCAAUUGACCAACUUACCAUAAAAUUAACUUCAUGAUAACCAGAUCCCUCACUGGGCAAAACAGAUAUUGGUUCACGUGUAGGACACUCUGACGGAGUUGGUAAGAACGCCACCCUUAUCUCCACCUUAUCUCCAUUAGUGUUUUUUACCUAAAAAAGUAAUUAUACACACAAAAUAACAUCCUUCUCGUUCCUAUACAAUUUCAGGAAGGGAAUAAAAGAGCACCCCAUCCACCCUUCAUUCUUGCUAUAGAACUCCUAACGUAUACAAAACCUCCGUACCUCUAUGUCCAAAUAUCAGAAUCAAAUUGCUCUUUUUGUGUCCUAUAUAUUUUCUUUGAAAAUGAUUUGAUUGAUUUGUCUUGAAAUUAAUCUGACGUAUAUAGGGAUCAAAAUCUACUAAUUCCAACUGCUCAUCUCUUGAUUAAUGAUCCUUCAUAACUUGGCAUGCUAGAGGAAUCCGUUGAGGUAUAGGACACAUUUAUUUUAGUUAAUGCACUCGAUACCAAACUGCUGUUAAUGCUAGAAGACCUCGCAGAGCUAGCUGAGCCUUCCAUUCUAGCAUUCAGAAAAGGAGGUUGAUUAGGCAUGGGAACUUCAGAAUCUUCAUUAAUAAGCAGCUGAACCACUUCAUCCAUAGAUGGCCUUAAGGCAGCUGAUGCUUGUGUGCAUAAAAGUCCAAUUUGGAGAACAUUUGACACCUCUUUUACUGGAAAAUUACCUUGCAGACGAGGGUCAAUUACUUCAG
This 1783-nucleotide long non-coding RNA is filed under the name Panax ginseng (ginseng). RNAcentral's name for it is "long non-coding RNA (PGIN_LNC006495)". Lineage: Eukaryota; Viridiplantae; Streptophyta; Magnoliopsida; Apiales; Araliaceae. The record is from RNAcentral.